This 73-nucleotide transfer RNA is filed under the name Candidatus Freyarchaeota archaeon. Its description in RNAcentral is "tRNA-Val". It matches the Rfam family "tRNA". From Rfam's summary of the family: Transfer RNA (tRNA) molecules are approximately 80 nucleotides in length. Their secondary structure includes four short double-helical elements and three loops (D, anti-codon, and T loops). Further hydrogen bonds mediate the characteristic L-shaped molecular structure. tRNAs have two regions of fundamental functional importance: the anti-codon, which is responsible for specific mRNA codon recognition, and the 3' end, to which the tRNAs corresponding amino acid is attached (by aminoacyl-tRNA synthetases). tRNAs cope with the degeneracy of the genetic code in two manners: having more than one tRNA (with a specific anti-codon) for a particular amino acid; and 'wobble' base-pairing, i.e. permitting non-standard base-pairing at the 3rd anti-codon position. RNAcentral also lists the same sequence under 2 other names. Lineage: Archaea; Promethearchaeati; Candidatus Freyarchaeota. The record is from RNAcentral.
GGGCGCAUGGUCUAGUGGUUAUGAUGCCGCGCUUACGACGCGGAGGUCUCCGGUUCAAUUCCGGAUGCGCCCA